RNAcentral lists this ribosomal RNA (433 nucleotides) under uncultured bacterium. Its description in RNAcentral is "partial 16S ribosomal RNA". It matches the Rfam family "Bacterial small subunit ribosomal RNA", at positions 29 to 507 of the family's 1533-position model. The record is from RNAcentral.
AACGAACGCUGGCGGCAUGCCUAACACAUGCAAGUCGAACGAUCCCUCCGGGGGUUUUGUCGCACGGGUGCGUCACGCGUGGGAACCUUCCCUUAUGUUCGGCAUACCUCAGAGACUUUUGUACUAAUACCGGAUAAUGUCUUCUGACCAAGAAUUUAUUGCCUUUGGUUGUGCCCGCGUUGGAUUAGCUUGUUGUUUGGGUAAUGGCCUACCACGGCGCCGAUCCAUAGCUGGGAUGAGAGAAUGGUCAGCGACACUGGGAGUGAGAAACGGCCCAGAAUCCUACGGGAGGGAGGAGAGGGGGAUAGUGGAAAAUGGGGGGAAGGAUGAAGCAGUAAGGACGGGUAAGUGAUGAAGGCAUGAGGGUUGUAAAGUGUUUGUAACCGGGAAGAUAAUGACAGUACCGGGAGAAAAAGCCACGGCUAACUACGUG